AGACACUAUUCCAGGCAAAUGGGGCAGAUCAAGGGACAGGGCAGAUGAAAUCCCUCUCUCUGCUAUAGGGCUGCUGCGUGCAAUUAACCAUGCACAACUCCAGCGGGCGCCAUAUGCACAGGCUUUGUGAAUGGAGUGCCCUGGCAUCGAGCAUCCUGGCAGCCCCUCUCUAUGGAGCCCUGCUCUAGUAGAGGUAAUAAAAUACCAAUGAAAUAGGUGUUAUUAUCCUCCUAUUAUAGACGCCAAGGGGUUAAGUAACUCCCUGAGUUUUUCAGCCAAAAAUGAUGGACCUGUGAUUUAUACCAGAGUCAGCCUGACCUAAAGUCCUCGCAGUUCACCUGUGCUGUAAAAUGUGUACGUGCCAUUCCAUCCCUGGGGCAACAGGGGUGAGGGAAUAACCAGGCUGGGAAGGCCCAGUAGAGGCAACAUGUCCUGACUGGGUGAACCAGGAUCGGCUCUGGGCUAACAGAGCAUCCUGGGUGAGGCUGGCAGCUCUAAGUGAGGCUGGCAGCUCUAAGGCUUGAUAAGAUCAGCUGCAUCCAUGGAAAGGUUGGAGGACCAGCCUUUUUUCCUCACCAGCUGAGGACCUACUCAGAAAGUUCUGUCCCUGGGUCUCUGUGUGCAGCCUUGAAGGCCCAGAGUCAGCUAUUGGUUCAUCUACUUAUGUUUCACUUAUUAGAUGCCUUAGCUAUAUUGGAGGUCAGAGAAGUAGGUCCAGGGACCUAGAGAUUUGUAAAGGUAACCACCAAACUCCUUUGCUUCAGAAUGAGGUAGAAAGGCUGGUCCAGGACCCGUGGGCCAGUUUCCUGAAUAAAGUGAGCAUGUGUAGAGGACCAGAGAGGGCGCUCUUCCCCGGUGAGUUUACCCUGCAAGGUGGAUCUAGUUUUCAUAGCCUUUGGUCCAGACACAGUGCUACUCCAGACACGAAAAGGGCAGAGCCUUGUCCAAGUCCUUCUACCUCUCAUCUAAGUUUUUUUUUUUUUUUUUUUUUUUUGUCUUUUUGCCAUUUUUUCUUGGGCCACUCCCAUAGCAUAUGGAGGUUCCCAGGCUAGGGGUCGAAUCGGAGUUGUAGUCGCCAGCCUACGCCACAGCCACAGCAACGUGGGAUCCGAGCCGCGUCUGCAACCUACACCACAGCUCAUGGCAACGCCAGAUCCUUAACCCACUGAGUUAGUUAAGGAUCGAACCCGCAACCUCAUGGUUCCUAGUCAGAUUCGUUAACCACUGAGCCAUGAUGGGAACUCCUCGUCUAAGCUUCUAUUCUUAUGAAGGAAGAAAGGUGGCCCCUGGCUGUCCAUCUCCCCCUCUUUGUCUGCUGUCUCCCUUCUCCCACCCACAGAGGUACCUGCAUGUUUAAGAGGCUUCUGAGACCUGAGCAGGGUGCCAGGGACCUAAUGCCAGCUGCUUUGGAAUGGUUGUCCUGGGACAUUGAGGAAGAAGAGAGGUUUGAAGGGUUCUCUCUCUAUGUGGGAUGAAGUCAAAGAUGGCCCAUAUGGAAAACCCUUGGAAGGUUUGAUGUCAACGUUUUAGCUACACAGCAUUCAUUCUUCUUUCAUUGUUUGGGUCUCCUUCUGUGUCCUUCCAUCCUCACUGGCACCUGAAACCCAGGUCUGGGGUGAGAGAAAAAACUGUUUAGGCAAAUUUGUUGUAGCUUCCAGGAGGAAGGUAAUAAACUAGGAAAAAAAAACCACAUAACUUCUCUCCUGGGUCCAAUAUGAUGCUCAUACUUAAAGCUUCUAUGGAUCUUGGGACUCUCCUCUUAGUUCCUGCAGAUUUUAUGAAAGAUCUUGGUGUUUGUGCUGUAACAAAGCAAGGAAAUCAGAGUUUGGGCUGAUAGGAUCAAGCAGCAGGAACACUAAUCUCUCCUUCUUUGGAUUGAGGGAUUUCCUUCUGUUGGAGCCAGAGUUCAUUACCACUGAUAGGAGUAAGCAGGAUUCCUUCCCUAGCUCCUCUGGCUGACUAGUAUUCCUAAUUCCCAUGCAUCAGCUCCCUAGAAGGAUUUUGAUUUCUUCUGCAACAUGAAUCCCUUGAACCAUUUGUCAUGAACUUCCUGGAGGACAUGGAGGAUGGGAAAUAUUAGUGAGAGAACAGAAAGUUAUCUGGGUGCUUGGAGACUGAGAGGAGGGACGUGUCAAAGGGAAGCUUGAUUUGCUAAAAGCAAAUGUCAUCUUCCUCUUGAUUUUGCCUAAGACCAGUCUUGCCUAGGCAGCUUCUGUUUUUGGAAAAGCAAUUUUCCUGAGAGUUUGGGUCAGGGCUAGCCAAUGCCUGGCACAGCUGUUGCCACUGACUCCUCCCUACACCUUAGCACAGAUCCCGCUUUUCGGGCUCACUGGAAUGGGAUCUUCCGGUCCUUUUCAACGCCGUUUCUGCGCAGCCUCUGUCAGUCAGAGUUGACAUUUGCGAUGAAGCCCACUCCCCAAGACUGUUUAGAGUUCUGACUAUGGGUUCUCUAUUUUGUCCUCCGGGCAUCCCAUCUCAUUGCUGUAACUUUCGCAGCUCUUGGAACACAGAGCACAAUUCGAUGUUGAUUCACAGAAUGUCCUCCAGAUCAGUGGCGUUCAGUGUCAGCUCAACUCCGACUGACUCACUGGUAUCUAUUUAUCUCCUCCACUGACCAAGCUGGUUCUCUAGGUUCGGCAGGAGUUCUGGCUGAGACCUCUCAUUGCCCUAUAUUCUCUCCACUACUAAUGAGGCGUUGUUCUUUAAUUACUAGAUGCUGGAUACUAGAAUUGCUUUCCUUUGUUUCAGAGGAUUUAGCAAAGUGCUCCUGAAUAUUUCUUGUGCCUGACAUGAACUGCCAGAUUUUUCAUUUCCAGGUGUGCGAAGGUCACUGAGCUGGCGACCAGGAGAGAUUAAAGUUAGCUGAGAAUCUGAGUGAAGGGAGACUAAGGAAAGUGAUGCCUUGAACCUCAAGCGAAGUCCACCUUCAUCCUCGAAGCCUUCAAACACUUUGAUGCAAUCCCUUGAUAGUUCGCUGCCUUAUUUACAGUGAAAAACAGCCAGAAUGUGGGAGAAAUAGAUGCUCCAGGUAACUCAAUAUUCUAAUUGAUGAAAAUGAAUGAAAUUAAGAUAUUAAAUCGCUAAUAGCCCUUGCUAUAAAAAACCAUCCCAACAUGGAUGAGUCUAAAUUUCCUACCUCAGGGUUUCCUACCUCCUGAACAUAACUGAGUCCUUAAUGAUUCAGUUUUAAGGCCUCAGGGUCUGAAUCCUGAGAAGCAGAGGGUGGAGGAAAUUUGCGGAAGUUGUUGGCUGGCUUUGGAAGCCAUCAAAAAGUUGUCUAUUUUGGAUUAUAUCCAAGAGUUUUUUCUUUCUUCCUUUUUUUUUUUUUUUUUUUUUUUAAAGCCAAUUGCUUCUUUCUCAUGAAAACUGAAAAGUUAAGGAGGGUAGAAGGUAGUUGGAAUUCCAAUCAAUGAAUGAGAUUUUUCUCCAUGGUUGGAGAUGCUUACGUCUGAGGGCAAAAUGAAUGUCUAGUCCUGUCAAUCAGUUUUGGUCACAUUCAGUGUAAUUGGCUUGAAGCUGCAAGGGCCAUUAUCAACAGAACCAUCCUCCCAACACAUUCUGUGGUCCUGAGAAGUCACCAACCUCUCUGAGCCUCAGUGUCCUCUUCUUUAAAAUGGACAGUCAGUCAAGGCAAGACAUUGAACCCAAAGAGGAAAGGUAUUAUUUUUAUUAUUAUUCAUUAUUAUUAUUGUCUAAACUUGUAGAAAGACAUUACACAUAUUUUCAAGCUCAUAUUGAAAUUUGUUUUUUAAUAUAAAGUUUAUUGGUUUUUUCCAUGAUCAACUAGAUAUAUUCCUUGAAUACAUUUCAAGACCAUAAAC
RNAcentral lists this long non-coding RNA (3821 nucleotides) under Sus scrofa (pig). RNAcentral's name for it is "lncRNA (ENSSSCG00000060145.1)". The record is from RNAcentral. Lineage: Eukaryota; Metazoa; Chordata; Mammalia; Artiodactyla; Suidae.